This 376-nucleotide ribosomal RNA is filed under the name uncultured bacterium. Its description in RNAcentral is "bacterial SSU rRNA". It matches the Rfam family "Bacterial small subunit ribosomal RNA", at positions 975 to 1375 of the family's 1533-position model. The record is from RNAcentral.
CAACCCUUGACAUCCUAGGACAACUCCAGAGAUGGAGCCUUCCUUCGGGACCUAGUGACAGGUGCUGCAUGGCUGUCGUCAGCUCGUGUCGUGAGAUGUUCGGUUAAGUCCGGCAACGAGCGCAACCCACGUCUUUAGUUGCCAGCAGUUCGGCUGGGCACUCUAAAGAAACUGCCCGUGAUAAGCGGGAGGAAGGUGUGGAUGACGUCAAGUCCUCAUGGCCCUUACGGGUUGGGCUACACACGUGCUACAAUGGUGUCUACAGUGGGUUAAUCUCCAAAAGACAUCUCAGUUCGGAUUGUCGUCUGCAACUCGACGGCAUGAAGUCGGAAUCGCUAGUAAUCGCGUAACAGCAUGACGCGGUGAAUACGUUCCC